Molecule: long non-coding RNA, 553 nt
Organism: Daktulosphaira vitifoliae (grape phylloxera)
Lineage: Eukaryota; Metazoa; Arthropoda; Insecta; Hemiptera; Phylloxeridae
Exons: 3
Source: RefSeq, a predicted model, not a curated record
CACACGUAUCACCCGGGCACAGAAUAUGCCUUUUGAAACGUCUUCGUUGCUCCGGCGGUCGUUCAGCAUUUUUGUCGUUUGCGUGACGUGGCCGUGGAGUAUGCGAGCGCACUGUCUGGGUCUACCUGGAGGCGCCAAAGCAGCCGUCCGGUUUGACGUAUUCGAAUUGGCCCUGAACGACGGGUUCAGAUGCGCCGACCGAGCGUACGUCAGCCAGUCGAACGGCACUGGAUUUUCUCAAAACGGUCAUGACGUUCCACGUCAACUUCGUGCUGUGCUGUGCAAGGUGAGUGUGAUAGCGGUCAGCUAUCGUUUGACGUACGCCUUUUUGUAAUUUUAAUUUCGUCGUCAACAGCUGAGCGUUGACCUGAUCAAAUGCAAGAAGUAUUACGUGGACUGUGACAACUACAGGAGUUUCGAAUUGGCCGAGUUUUGCGGAAACGAAAAAGCCAUACUGCUCUUCACCGACAUCAGAUACACCACAUGCCCGCUGUUGUGUGCAAUGAAAUAAAUAUAGUUUAAAAAACUAAAAAAACACGCUUUUAAAGCACAU